RNAcentral lists this ribosomal RNA (490 nucleotides) under uncultured bacterium. Its description in RNAcentral is "partial 16S ribosomal RNA". It matches the Rfam family "Bacterial small subunit ribosomal RNA", at positions 30 to 507 of the family's 1533-position model. The record is from RNAcentral.
AUUGAACGCUGGCGGCAGGCCUAACACAUGCAAGUCGAACGGUAACAGGAAGAAGCUUGCUUCUUUGCUGAUGAGUGGCGGACGGGUGAGUAAUGUCUGGGAAACUGCCUGAUGGAGGGGGAUAACUACUGGAAACGGUAGCUAAUACCGCAUAACGUCGCAAGACCAAAGAGGGGGACCUUCGGGCCUCUUGCCAUCGGAUGUGCCCAGAUGGGAUUAGCUAGUAGGUGGGGUAACGGCUCACCUAGGCGACGAUCCCUAGCUGGUCUGAGAGGAUGACCAGCCACACUGGAACUGAGACACGGUCCAGACUCCUACGGGAGGCAGCAGUGGGGAAUAUUGCACAAUGGGCGCAAGCCUGAUGCAGCCAUGCCGCGUGUAUGAAGAAGGCCUUCGGGUUGUAAAGUACUUUCAGCGGGGAGGAAGGGAGUAAAGUUAAUACCUUUACUCAUUGACGUUACCCGCAGAAGAAGCACCGGCUAACUCCGUG